CUACGGGAUGCUGCAGUCGGGAAUCUUUUGCAAUGCGCGAAAGCGUGACAAAGCGAGCCAGAGUGCUUUUCCGUAUAGGAAAAGCUUUUGCCUAAUUUAAAAAAUUAGGCGAAUAAGGACUGGGCAAGACCGGUGCCAGCCGCCGCGGUAAUCCCGGCAGUUCAAGUCGUAACCACAUUUAUUGGGUCUAAAACAUUCGUAGCUUGUUGUAUAAGUCUUCUGUGAAAUCCUGUCUCUCAAGGGCAGGGCAUGCAGGAGAUACUGUAUAACUAGAGACCGGAGGAUGUGAGGAGUACAGUAGAGGUAAUGGUAAAAUAUGUUAAUCUUUGCUGGACUAACAAUAGCGAAGGCACCUCACAAAUACGGAUCUGACAGUGAGGGAUGAAGGCUAGGGUCGCAAAACGGAUUAGAUACCCUGGUAGUC
Molecule: ribosomal RNA, 424 nt
Filed under: uncultured archaeon
Lineage: Archaea
Description: partial 16S ribosomal RNA
Rfam family: Archaeal small subunit ribosomal RNA
Source: RNAcentral